Bos taurus (domestic cattle) is the source of this 1644-nucleotide long non-coding RNA. NCBI's taxonomy places the organism in Eukaryota, Metazoa, Chordata, Mammalia, Artiodactyla, Bovidae. The record is from Ensembl.
UGGGGCCAAAGGGUGAAGGCUGCCUCUAUCUACACCCCGCCCUCCCCUGAGUCCCAGAGUGUGCUCUCCUGGCAUCCUGUCCUCUCCAGCAUAAGGCUGAGCUCAGUCCCCGCCCACACCCCUCCCCUAGGAACCUAGGGGUUCCUAGGCAGCUUGCUAGACACCCAUGCUUUCUGUGGUGUCAGGGAUCCCAGCCACGGGCGCCACCCAGUGGACACUGUCCAGAUAACGUGAGAAGAGCCCUAUCUACAGCCUCCCUCUGCCCCUCAUCUUUGGGCCCACCUCACAUUCUUUAAAUUCAAGAAGUCUUUUACCUCCAGUGCCAAGGAGGGUUGUCAGUAAGGUCACAGACAUCCAGUAAGACGACUGAAGGGAGCUGCUUGUUCCACAACACUGAACUCACGUCCGCCACCACCUAGGUCCUACAAAAGCCUGGGGUGCUGUAAAUAACCCAGUUACACUGCAGUGCAUUUCAGUAUUUAAAAUAUCAUUUUGAAAAUGUAUUUAGUGCUUACAAUGAAAGACAGUUUUUAUCCCCCCAGCCAAAAAAAGAUGGAACUGAUGUUCAACUCACAGAAGGUUAACAGAGCCCAGGGAAAUAUGUAAUACAAUCAUUGAAAGAGAUUUCCAGUAAGAAUGGGGAAAGAUUUGGCACUCAAAUCCGUUUGGGAAAUUUCAUGCCAAACAGCUGGUUGAUAGUGAGGACCCUGGUACAUGUCUCUGGUACAUGUCUCAUCUGUCAGGGCACCUCUCCUGGCCCGCUGUCGGUCUCUGCCUAACUCAACAUGGCUUAACAGCCUAAAUCAGCCACAGCCCCCCUUGUACACUUUCUGUGAGAACAGCUUAUGAUGGCAGAGUCUAGAAAGGCCUGAAGAGGAGGACCCCGGAGAGCUUAGAGCUGUUACCCCGUAACUCUUGGCAUGGAUGCAGAGACCAGGCAGCACUGGCUGCAGAGCCCCUCCCCAGAGCCUCACAGUACCACCUCUCAGGGCCUGGGGCCUCUUCCUUGCCCCCACACCACAGUCGCUCAGGUUCCCCACCCAAGCUUCUGCCUCAGUCCCUCAGGGAAACAAAAAUUCAUUAGCAUCUUCAGAACGGGCUGCUCAGAAGAGGAGGUCAACAUUUGCACCUGCCCUUGGACACCACCCUCUGCCCCGCGCCCCAUUGGAGCUUGCAGAGGCAGUGGGAAAGUGCUGCCUACAUCUGCGUAGUGAAAAGCACCAUCACAGCCCCCACCCACCCAAGAACAGGCGUCUGCAUUAAUAAAGACCGUGUACCACCUGAAUCUUGGUACCUGUCGAAUAGCAGGUGACAACCCUGUCCUUCAAAAGAGAUGGCAAUGCUUGACCUAUUUCUCAGGGCUCUUCAGGACAGGAACCAUCUCUGCAGCGCUGGAACCAACUGCAUUCUGAUCCCCACUCAGGGAGCCUGGGGUUGGUGACUGAGGUGGGAGGUGAGGCCCAGUGUGGGCACACGGGCCUGGAGAGGCCUGGCAGAGGGAGGAAGUGUGUCUUCAGCCCCUGGAUUCUAGGAGCUGUCCGGAAGGAGCCCUGCACCAAGCUGCAGGUGACGUCUGUCUACAUGGGGGUGGGGCGUCAGGGAGAAGUGUUCCUGACCCUCUUCACAGCCUACCUGCUGGAGGCA